GAGCGAACGCUGGCGGCAGGCUUAACACAUGCAAGUCGAGCGGGCAUCUUCGGAUGUCAGCGGCAGACGGGUGAGUAACACGUGGGAACGUACCCUUCGGUUCGGAACAACUCUGGGAAACUGGAGCUAAUACCGGAUACGCCCUUAUGGGGAAAGGUUUACUGCCGAAGGAUCGGCCCGCGUCUGAUUAGCUAGUUGGUGGGGUAACGGCCUACCAAGGCGACGAUCAGUAGCUGGUCUGAGAGGAUGAUCAGCCACACUGGGACUGAGACACGGCCCAGACUCCUACGGGAGGCAGCAGUGGGGAAUAUUGGACAAUGGGCGCAAGCCUGAUCCAGCCAUGCCGCGUGAGUGAUGAAGGCCUUAGGGUUGUAAAGCUCUUUUGUCCGGGACGAUAAUGACGGUACCGGAAGAAUAAGCCCCGGCUAACUUCGUG
Molecule: ribosomal RNA, 436 nt
Filed under: uncultured bacterium
Lineage: Bacteria
Description: partial 16S ribosomal RNA
Rfam family: Bacterial small subunit ribosomal RNA
Source: RNAcentral